CCGCUUGCAGGUAAACAGAUGGACCCACGAAGUCCUGUUGAGUGAGAGAUUCAUAUCUUUCGAAAGGCGAUGAGGUUAGUGAUGUCCACUCGUGGAUAAGCUGGCUUUUGCUGUCAAUUGAAAGAUGCAUUUCUCUUGCUCACGUUGGAGCUCUGACGGCUUCUUCGACUUUAACUGCUUAGGCAGCCAUUGAUUGUGGUUGAGUCUUCGGAUUCAUUUCACUUUUGAUGGUGAUAAAGUUAGGUUGAAUGGAGUUGGUGAAUUUCUUACUUUUGUAAGUUUUCAGGUUGUCGGUAUGAUGCUGUUGUCAAAGAUGCGGCAUAGGGAAUUUUCGUCUCUCGUAGAAGAAAACCUCUAUGUUUGUGUCUUUAAGUACAACGGUAGCAUAUCAAUGAUGAUCCAGAGUAAGUAGGUCGGUCAUCCAUCUGACCCGUCUUGAAACACGGACCAAGGAGCCCAACAUUUGCGCGAGUCGCUCGGUCUUGCAUAGGCCCGAGAGGCGAAAUAAACAUAAUGGUAUGAUCCUGUUCUUCUUUCGAGGGAAUGGGCGCAAUACCAACCUGCUUAUCUUGCCUUUUGACAGGAAAGCGGAGUUUGAGCGUAAAUGUUGGUACCCGAAAGAUGGUGAACUAUACUUGGGCAAGACGAAGCCAGAGGAAACUCUGGUGGAGGUCUGUAGCGAUUCUGACGUGCAAAUCGAUCGUCAGACCUGAGUAUAGGGGCGAAAGACUAAUCGAACCAUCUAGUAGCUGGUUCCCUCCGAAGUUUCCCUCAGGAUAGCUGGUACUAAUACUCUGUAGCACCCGGUAAAGCGAAUGAUUAGAGGUCUUGGGAUCGAAACGAUCUCAACCUAUUCUCAAACUUUAAAUGGGUGCGGAGCUUGACUUAUUUGGAGUAAAGUCUUGCUUUGUAAGAGGAGUACCAAGUGGGCCAUUUUUGGUAAGCAGAACUGGCGCUGUGGGAUGAACCAAACGCAGAGUUAAAGCACCAAAUGCCGACGCUCAUGAGACCCCAUGAAAGGUGUUGGUUGCUAUAGACAGC
Molecule: ribosomal RNA, 1041 nt
Filed under: Sperchon longirostris
Lineage: Eukaryota; Metazoa; Arthropoda; Arachnida; Trombidiformes; Sperchontidae
Description: partial large subunit ribosomal RNA
Rfam family: Eukaryotic large subunit ribosomal RNA
Source: RNAcentral